UGAAAGAAACGCGGCGAGAAGGAAAGAGGGUGAAGGAAGGCCGUGGACUGCGGCCAGGCCAGGUCGGGGUGGUGCACGGGGGAGGAGCUGGCUGCCGACGGAGAAGGAAAUCUGGGAGGACAGUUCAGCAGAAGCAGAGCGGAAACGUUGGAGGGCAUUUUACGUCUAGAGGAACGUUCAGAAUGUGUGAAGCAAACAGCCUGCUUUGGUGACGCCCAGGUCGCAGGUGUCCGGCAGAGAGGCUGUAAACAGCGCGUGUGGACCUCGUCUACGCAGCCCACCUGACUUGCUCCUUCAGAAGUGAAACCCAUUUCUAGCCUCUCCAGAUCUCGGAAGAUACUCAAAGAUCAAUCUGAAAUCCAAAGGCUGGCCAAUUAUACUUAUCAACGAUGGCAGUUUGCUGGAGCCUCACUAAAAACAAGGGUCUGGGAGGAACUAAAGGUCCUUCAGGCGUUUCUUGUGAGGAGGCACCUGGAUGAAUUUCAAAACUACUCUGCCAUCUGCCAAAGUCAAAUGACAUCACAUCCAGGCCCCAUCGCAUGGCAGUGGUUAGCAAGAGGCUGGUGACGUAUGAGGCUUUGGAGACCAGAUCCCCUGAUGGGUUUCCAACACUUGGAGAGCCUUCCCAAGUGCACUGCCUGUUCCCCAGCGUGUCCCCCAGCCCUUCCAAGGGAAAGGGCGCAAAUGCAUGGGCUCCUAUGUGGAGCUGAACUAUUUGGAUGAUUCUGUUACAGGUUUUCAGGAUCCGAUCCAGCAGUCAAAAACUAUGUGCCGAGUGCUAGCACGUCUGAAGCACAGUGCCAGGUUGGGGAAGAUGUGAAAAAGCAAGAAGACAAGGCUUCUGCCCUCGGGUUUUCAGAGCAGUGGGGAAGGAUGCUGUUCUCCAGGUUGAUGUGACAAAGAUUCCAGGUAGAUUUCUACGAGGCUCCCGUAGCAGAAGACCAGGAUUAACUGGGUUCUUCCAUCCUGGAAUGAAAAUAGAUUGGGAGUCUUCUUUGUCACAUUCCACAUUCCUCUUGAAUUUGUGUCAACCGUGUUGCCAUCUGAAGUAUGCCUGGCGUCCAUGGGAACCAAUCAAUCUGCAGCGCCAGCCUCCCCCGCCAUGAGGCAGCAAACAUGACCCUGAGUGGGUCACAGUGUGAGCGUCUGGCUGAGCCUGUGCCUUCCGGGCCAGUGAGUCUGGGAGUGAAGCCGUCUAACUGGCUUUUCCACUGACAUCACACAGGGAAAUAAUUUUUAAGGUGUCUCUGUACUUUUCUAACUUCCUUGAACAAUGGUGUUAUUUAUGUGGUUAUGAAACAUGGCUUGAGAAUUAUUCUUCUUUGAU
Molecule: long non-coding RNA, 1327 nt
Organism: Balaenoptera musculus (blue whale)
Lineage: Eukaryota; Metazoa; Chordata; Mammalia; Artiodactyla; Balaenopteridae
Exons: 3
Source: RefSeq, a predicted model, not a curated record